UACGUAGGGGGCAAGCGUUAUCCGGAUUUACUGGGUGUAAAGGGAGCGUAGACGGCAGCGCAAGUCUGGAGUGAAAUGCCGGGGCCCAACCCGGGAACUGCUUUGGAAACUGUGCAGCUCGAGUGCAGGAGAGGUAAGCGGAAUUCCUAGUGUAGCGGUGAAAUGCGUAGAUAUUAGGAGGAACACCAGUGGCGAAGGCGGCUUACUGGACUGUAACUGACGUUGAGGCUCGAAAGCGUGGGGAGCAAACAGG
This 253-nucleotide ribosomal RNA is filed under the name uncultured bacterium. RNAcentral describes it as "partial 16S ribosomal RNA". It matches the Rfam family "Bacterial small subunit ribosomal RNA", at positions 524 to 776 of the family's 1533-position model. The record is from RNAcentral.